GGUCAGUAGGUUGGUCGUGCCACCGGUACGUACUGGUCUCACUGAUUCCUCCUUCCUGAAUAACCGUAAUGCCAUUAAUUUUGUGUUGCGGGGAAACAGGACUGUUACUUUGAAAAAAUUAGAGUGUUUAAAGCAAGCUAACGCUUGAAUACAUUAGCAUGGAAUAAUGAAAUAGGACGAUCGAUCCUAUUUUGUUGGUUUCUAGGAUUGACGUA
RNAcentral lists this ribosomal RNA (215 nucleotides) under Glomeromycotina sp. RNAcentral describes it as "partial small subunit ribosomal RNA". The stretch from base 39 to 215 matches the Rfam family "Eukaryotic small subunit ribosomal RNA", at positions 686 to 864 of the family's 1831-position model. The record is from RNAcentral. Lineage: Eukaryota; Fungi; Glomeromycota.